This 376-nucleotide ribosomal RNA is filed under the name uncultured Glomeromycotina. RNAcentral describes it as "LSU rRNA". The record is from RNAcentral. Lineage: Eukaryota; Fungi; Glomeromycota.
UUGAAAGGGAAACGAUUGAAGUCAGUCGUACCGCGGGAAAUCAACCUUUCGACUUUUGGUUUUGGAGUUUUUUGAAGAGUGUCAAAACCUUUGAGAUUUCAAAAUAUUCGCUCUUUUGGUGUACUUUCUCGUGGGUAGGUUAACAUCGAUUUUGAUCAUCAUAAAAAGAUUGGAGGAAUGUAGCUUCGAUCUUGUAUUGAAGUGUUAUAGCCUUUGGUAAAUGUGAUGAUUAGGAUCGAGGAUUGCAACGAAUACCCUUUUGGGCUAUCCGCCUGAUCUCUGAUACGUGGCCUUGGUAUCGAAAGCGUGCUUAUGGUAUUGAGGUAUUACGGUCAAAAGGUUAGAACGGAUUAUAUUCGUUAAGGAUGUUGACGUA